GACGAACGCUGGCGGCGUGCUUAACACAUGCAAGUCGAACGGAGUACCCCCGAAAGAGAUUUCGGUCAAUGGAGGGGACUGCUUAGUGGCGGACGGGUGAGUAACGCGUGAGGAACCUGCCUUUCAGUGGGGGACAACAGUUGGAAACGACUGCUAAUACCGCAUAACGUAUCUGUAUCGCAUGGUAUGGAUACCAAAGAUUUAUCGCUGAGAGAUGGCCUCGCGUCUGAUUAGCUUGUUGGUAGGGUAACGGCCUACCAAGGCGACGAUCAGUAGCCGGACUGAGAGGUUGGCCGGCCACAUUGGGACUGAGAUACGGCCCAG
Molecule: ribosomal RNA, 324 nt
Filed under: uncultured bacterium
Lineage: Bacteria
Description: bacterial SSU rRNA
Rfam family: Bacterial small subunit ribosomal RNA
Source: RNAcentral